RNAcentral lists this unclassified non-coding RNA (346 nucleotides) under soil metagenome. Its description in RNAcentral is "partial contains 5.8S ribosomal RNA, internal transcribed spacer 2, and large subunit ribosomal RNA". The stretch from base 1 to 120 matches the Rfam family "5.8S ribosomal RNA", at positions 35 to 154 of the family's 154-position model. The record is from RNAcentral.
GAUGAAGAACGUAGCAAAAUGCGAUAAGUAAUGUGAAUUGCAGAAUUCAGUGAAUCAUCGAAUCUUUGAACGCACAUUGCGCCCGCCAGUAUUCUGGCGGGCAUGCCUGUUCGAGCGUCAUUUCAACCCUCAAGCCCUCGGGUUUGGUGUUGGGGAUCGGCGAGCCUUUCUGGCAAGCCGGCCCCGAAACCUAGUGGCGGUCUCGCUGCAGCCUCCAUUGCGUAGUAGUAAAACCCUCGCAACUGGAACGCGGCGCGGCCAAGCCGUUAAACCCCCAACUUCUGAAUGUUGACCUCGGAUCAGGUAGGAAUACCCGCUGAACUUAAGCAUAUCAAUAAGCGGAGGA